GACGAACGCUGGCGGCGUGCUUAACACAUGCAAGUCGAACGGAAAGGCCCUGCUUUUGUGGGGUGCUCGAGUGGCGAACGGGUGAGUAACACGUGAGUAACCUGCCCUUGACUUUGGGAUAACUUCAGGAAACUGGGGCUAAUACCGGAUAGGAGCUCCUGCUGCAUGAUGGGGGUUGGAAAGUUUCGGCGGUUGGGGAUGGACUCGCGGCUUAUCAGCUUGUUGGUGGGGUAGUGGCUUACCAAGGCUUUGACGGGUAGCCGGCCUGAGAGGGUGACCGGCGACAUUGGGACUGAGAUACGGCCCAGACUCCUACGGGAGGCAGCAGUGGGGAAUAUUGCACAAUGGGCGGAAGCCUGAUGCAGCAACGCCGCGUGCGGGAUGACGGCCUUCGGGUUGUAAACCGCUUUCGCCUGUGACGAAGCGUGAGUGACGGUAAUGGGUAAAGAAGCACCGGCUAACUACGUG
This 468-nucleotide ribosomal RNA is filed under the name uncultured bacterium. RNAcentral's name for it is "partial 16S ribosomal RNA". It matches the Rfam family "Bacterial small subunit ribosomal RNA", at positions 28 to 507 of the family's 1533-position model. The record is from RNAcentral.